GCUGAAAGCUACCGGUGAAAAACCGUUAUCAACGUUCUUCACAAAGAAAUCUGAAGUUAAAUGCGAACCAGAGCCUGAAUUACUGAAAUCAUCCAAACAAGAACAUGAUCCCUGCAAUUUGAAGGAAGAACCAGGUUCAGAUGAUGUUGAGCAAAAAGUCAUCGACGAGGAGGAGGAUAG
Asparagus officinalis (garden asparagus) is the source of this 180-nucleotide long non-coding RNA. RefSeq lists it as uncharacterized. The record is from RefSeq and is a predicted model, not a curated record. NCBI's taxonomy places the organism in Eukaryota, Viridiplantae, Streptophyta, Magnoliopsida, Asparagales, Asparagaceae. The transcript has 2 exons.